CUCUCUUCUCUCUCUGUGAGUUUUCAGCCUCUGCUUCUUCUUCUAAUUUUCAGCCUCUUUUCGGUUUCUACCUUUGUGGUGAUUUUCAUUGAGUUAUUACCUACCUUUGUAGUCUUCUAAGUGCGUUAUCUCUUUGAAAACCAAAAGCGGAAGCUUGGUUUUGUCUUGGAUCAUUGGCUGUCGGAUUGUGGUGUGGUUGGGUGAAUAAACUGAGAUUGGGCCUACCUUGGUGGUCAAUACAGGUUCAACGCAACAGAAUCUGGAGUGUAUUUUCUGCACACAUGUUAAUCUCAUAUACGGUGAGAAGGAUCAGAAAUAAUGUAGAAAUAGAAUUUUUCCAUUAAAUGCUGAAUAAUUCAAGUUUAUUUGAAAUUUCUUUUU
This 381-nucleotide long non-coding RNA is filed under the name Olea europaea (common olive). RNAcentral describes it as "long non-coding RNA (OEUR_LNC010401)". The record is from RNAcentral. Lineage: Eukaryota; Viridiplantae; Streptophyta; Magnoliopsida; Lamiales; Oleaceae.